This 1161-nucleotide unclassified non-coding RNA is filed under the name Hevea brasiliensis (rubber tree). The record is from RNAcentral. Lineage: Eukaryota; Viridiplantae; Streptophyta; Magnoliopsida; Malpighiales; Euphorbiaceae.
CAGUUGUCCAUGCUUGCAUCAAGUAAUUUUGAUUGGCCUCUUCUUCAUCUUCUUCUUUUUUAACUUUCCUUCUUUUCUUAUCUUUGCUUUUUCCCUUGUUAUAACUGCCAUCUUUUGCUAAUAUUUUGGGGUUAGAUUGAGUUGGGGAUAGCUAUUCUUUAUUUUGUGCUACUGCUAAGCUAUUUUUUUAUGUUGUGCUAAGCCUUUCUUGUCAGGGAUCUAAAACAUUUAAUUAUCUGUAUUUAUGUGCUCUAUGCCAGUGGCGGAUGCACCUUCGAAAAUGAGGGGUCAAUUAACCCCUCCUUUAAUUAAAAAGUUCCACACACACUCACAUACAUGUUUGUUUAAUUUUUUUUUGGAAGUAUAUUUGUUUAAAUUGACUCCUCAUAAAUUUAGUUAUUGAACCUUCUUUUUGGUAAACAUUAAAAUAAAUUGUUUAUUUUUAUGACUUGCUUGAAUCUUGUAGUUUGUUCUCUUCUUUUUAACAGAAAAGGUUGGUUAGAUUGACUUAAUUUGAUUGCACUAAAUUUUUAGAUGUUGAACUCUUAAUACUUGAAAACCAAUUUGAAAACUUUCCUUUUGAUAUGCAUAUUUUUUUUUAUACAUUCAACUCCCCAAAAAAAAAUUCUAGAUCCAUCACUGUCAAGGAUGAUAUUUGCAUCAGAGUCCUAUGUUAACCAGGUGCAUGUACCUAAUACACACUGCAUAAACAGAUGCCAUAUCAUCUUCAUAUCAUCAUGCUGGAAAAGAAAGGAUGGAUGGACUCCUAAUGGCCCAAUGAAACACCAGAAACUACAUUGUCCAUGCAUAAUUCAAGCACAUCCCCCCAAAAAAACCCAUGGGCAUCCAGAAUAAAAAAAUGUCAGGAAAAAAAUAAAGAAUAUAAAUCUUAGAAAAAUGUUGUUUUUAGGCUCCCAACACUACCAGAAUUUUAAUCAAAUCAUACCACAAUGUUAACAGGAAAACGAUCAAAGACUCAAGGACUAGGUAGACUAAAAAGGAUGGGGAAAAAAACUGUAGCAAUUUAAUGUGACAGAGCUACUGAAGAGCAUUAGAUGACAGCAGAGAUCCCGGUUUACUAGUGCCAUUUGCCUGGAUAAUUGUUAGCAAAACUUGCAUAUUUGGUAACACAAGAUUGUGAUUUAAACCAUGGGAUUACCU